GAUGAACGCUGGCGGCGUGCCUAAUACAUGCAAGUCGAACGGAGUAUGUAGCAAUACGUACUUAGUGGCGAACGGGUGAGUAACGCGUUGGUGACCUGCCCCGAAGCGGGGGAUAACAGUUCGAAAGAGCUGCUAAUACCCCAUGUGUUUUCUGGGAUUAGAUGCCCAGUUCAUAAAGGAGUAAUCCACUUCGGGAGGGGCCUGCGUCCCAUCAGCUAGUUGGUAAGGUAAUGGCUUACCAAGGCGAUGACGGGUAGGGGGCCUGAGAGGGCGACCCCCCACAAUGGAACUGAAACACGGUCCAUACACCUACGGGUGGCUG
RNAcentral lists this ribosomal RNA (322 nucleotides) under uncultured Chloroflexota bacterium. RNAcentral's name for it is "bacterial SSU rRNA". It matches the Rfam family "Bacterial small subunit ribosomal RNA", at positions 28 to 351 of the family's 1533-position model. The record is from RNAcentral. Lineage: Bacteria; Bacillati; Chloroflexota.